RNAcentral lists this signal recognition particle RNA (169 nucleotides) under Clostridium sp. Its description in RNAcentral is "signal recognition particle sRNA large type". It matches the Rfam family "Bacterial large signal recognition particle RNA", at positions 79 to 235 of the family's 256-position model. Rfam says of the family: The signal recognition particle (SRP) is a universally conserved ribonucleoprotein involved in the co-translational targeting of proteins to membranes. Lineage: Bacteria; Bacillati; Bacillota; Clostridia; Eubacteriales; Clostridiaceae. The record is from RNAcentral. RNAcentral also lists the same sequence under 13 other names.
AAAGGCCGUACAUGUCCGGUAUCAUGGGAAUAGUGAUGAAACUCGGUCUUACGCAAUGGGAAUCUACGAACCGUGUCAGGUUGGGAACAAAGCAGCACUAAGUAGAACCUUCCAUGUGCCGUGAGGAAACUGGGUGGAGCUGUUAUCCUGGUCCGGCAUGUGCGGUUUU